Molecule: ribosomal RNA, 225 nt
Filed under: uncultured bacterium
Lineage: Bacteria
Description: partial 16S ribosomal RNA
Rfam family: Bacterial small subunit ribosomal RNA
Source: RNAcentral
CGCGUAGGUAACCUGCCUUGUAGCGGGGGAUAGCUAUUGGAAACGAUAGCUAAUACCGCAUAACAAUGGGUGACUCAUGUCAUUUAUUUGAAAGGGGCAAAUGCUCCACUACAAGAUGGACCUGCGUUGUAUUAGCUAGUAGGUGAGGUAACGGCUCACCUAGGCGACGAUACAUAGCCGACCUGAGAGGGUGAUCGGCCACACUGGGACUGAGACACGGCCCAG